Molecule: ribosomal RNA, 912 nt
Filed under: uncultured archaeon
Lineage: Archaea
Description: bacterial SSU rRNA
Rfam family: Archaeal small subunit ribosomal RNA
Source: RNAcentral
UUCCGGUUGAUCCCGCCGGACCUGACUGCUAUCGGAUUGAUACUAAGCCAUGCUAGUCUUUGUAGUAAUACAAGGCAUACGGCUCAGUAACGCGUAGUCAACCUACCCUAUGGACGGGGAUAAUCUCGGGAAACUGAGCAUAAUACCCGGCAGACCACUUAUCCUGGAAUGGUUAGUGGUUAAAAUGAUUCGUCGCCAUAGGAUGGGACUGCGGCCUAUCAGCUUGUUGGUGAGGUAAUGGCCCACCGAGGCGAUUACAGGUACGGGCUCUGAGAGGAGAGGCCCGGAGAUGGGUACUGAGACAAGGACCCAGGCCCUAUGGGGCGCAGCAGGCGAGAAAACUUUGCAAUGUGCGAAAGCACGACAAGGUUAAUCCGAGUGAUUUCUGCUAAAGGAAUCUUUUGUUAGUUCUAAAAAUACUAGUGAAUAAGGGGUGGGCAAGUUCUGGUGUCAGCCGCCGCGGUAAAACCAGCACCUCAAGUGGUCAGGAGGAUUAUUGGGCCUAAAGCAUCCGUAGCCUGUUCUAUAAGUUUGCGGUUAAAUCUAUACGCUUAACGUAUAGGCUGCCGUAAAUACUGUAGAACUAGGGAGUGGGAGAGGUAGACGGUACUCGAUAGGAAGGGGUAAAAUCCUUUGAUCUAUUGAUGACCACCUGUGGCGAAGGCGGUCUACCAGAACACGUUCGACGGUGAGGGAUGAAAGCUGGGGGAGCAAACCGGAUUAGAUACCCGGGUAGUCCCAGCUGUAAACGAUGCAGACUCGAUGAUGCAAUGGCAUAGAGCUAUUGCAGUAUCGCAGGGAAGCCGUUAAGUCUGCCGCCUGGGAAGUACGUACGCAAGUAUGAAACUUAAAGGAAUUGGCGGGGGAGCACCACAAGGGGUGAAGCCUGCGGUUCAAUUGGAAUCAACGCCG